Molecule: ribosomal RNA, 492 nt
Filed under: uncultured bacterium
Lineage: Bacteria
Description: partial 16S ribosomal RNA
Rfam family: Bacterial small subunit ribosomal RNA
Source: RNAcentral
AGUGAACGCUGGCGGUAGGCCUAACACAUGCAAGUCGAACGGCAGCACAGUAAGAGCUUGCUCUUACGGGUGGCGAGUGGCGGACGGGUGAGGAAUACAUCGGAAUCUACUUAUUCGUGGGGGAUAACGUAGGGAAACUUACGCUAAUACCGCAUACGACCUACCGGAGAAAUCAGGGGAUCUUCGGACCUUUCGCGUUUGUAUGAGCCGAUGUCGGAUUAGCUAGUUGGCGGGGUAACGGCUUACCAAGGCAACGAUGCGUAGCUGGUCUGAGAGGGUGAUCGGCCACACUGGAACUGAGACACGGUCCAGACUCCUACGGGAGGCAGCAGUAGGGAAUCUUGCGCAAUGGGCGAAAGCCUGACGGAGCAACGCCGCGUGAGUGAUGAAGGUCUUCGGAUCGUAAAGCUCUGUUAUUAGGGAAGAACAAAUGUGUAAGUAACCAUGCACGUUUUGACGGUACCUAAUGAGUAAGCACCGGCUAACUACGUG